CAGGAGCCUCCAUCAGACCAUGGCUGUGCUGGGGCUGCUCCUCUGCCUGCUGGCUGCUCCCUGCUGUGUCUGGGCCCAGGUGCAGCUGAAGGAGUCAGGACCUGGCCUGGUGAAGCCUAAGGAGACCCUGUCCCUCACCUGCUCUGUGUCUGGAUUUUCCCUAACCAGCAAUAGUAUGCACUGGAUCCGCCAGCCACCAGGAAAGGGUCUGGAAUGGAUCGGUGCAAUGUGGAGUGAUGGAGACACAGAUUAUAAUUCAGCUCUCAAAUCCCGAGUCAGUAUCACCAGGGACACCUCCAAGAGCCAAGUUUUCCUGAAACUGAACAAUCUGCAGCCUGAGGACACAGGCGUGUAUUUCUGUACCAGAGACACAGUGCAGCUGCAGGAGUCAGGAUUUGCCGUCGUGAAGACCUCACAGUCACCAUUCCUGUCCUGCACCAUCACAGAUUCCUCUAUCAACUCUAGUUUCUACUGGACCUCGAUACGACGGCCUCUAGAGAAGAGGCUGAGUGAAUGA
Non-coding RNA from Nannospalax galili (Upper Galilee mountains blind mole rat), 517 nucleotides. NCBI's taxonomy places the organism in Eukaryota, Metazoa, Chordata, Mammalia, Rodentia, Spalacidae. The record is from the annotation of a RefSeq genome assembly.